RNAcentral lists this non-coding RNA (240 nucleotides) under Seladonia tumulorum. Lineage: Eukaryota; Metazoa; Arthropoda; Insecta; Hymenoptera; Halictidae. The record is from RNAcentral.
AGAAUUGAAUUAGUGAGUUUACGAGGGAACACAAGGGUACCUAGAAGGUAUAAUUUGUGUUCGUGGUCAAUAAUUAACCCUAACCCUAACUUGGAGAGAAAUCCUUCUCGUUACUUGGUUUGGUUUGUUCGCCCUUCUUCCAAUCAAAAACAGAAAGGGUAUUCUCGUAAACUCCUUUUUUUGCGGAGUCUUCCUGAAGGUAAAAUUUUGCUUAUUCUACCCCACUAAAAUGUAUUCUUU